This 496-nucleotide ribosomal RNA is filed under the name uncultured bacterium. RNAcentral's name for it is "bacterial SSU rRNA". It matches the Rfam family "Bacterial small subunit ribosomal RNA", at positions 166 to 644 of the family's 1533-position model. The record is from RNAcentral.
AUACCGCAUAACAUCCUGCCUUUGAAGAGGUGGAGAUCAAAGCUGGGGAUCGCAAGACCUAGCGCUGGAAGAGGGGCCCGCGCCUGAUUAGCUAGUUGGUGAGGUAACGGCUCACCAAGGCGACGAUCAGUAUCCGGCCUGAGAGGGCGGACGGACACACUGGGACUGAGACACGGCCCAGACUCCUACGGGAGGCAGCAGUGGGGAAUUGUUCGCAAUGGGCGCAAGCCUGACGACGCAACGCCGCGUGGAGGAUGAAGACCUUCGGGUCGUAAACUCCUUUCGAUCGAGACGAAUGGCCUCCGGGUGAACAGUCCGGAGGAGUGACGGUACCGAGAGAAGAAGCCCCGGCUAACUCCGUGCCAGCAGCCGCGGUAAUACGGGGGGGGCAAGCGUUGUUCGGAAUUACUGGGCGUAAAGGGCUCGUAGGCGGCCAACUAAGUCAGACGUAUCCCUCGGCUUAACCGGGGAACUGCAUCUGAUACUGGAUGGCUUG